GGUUUGAAAAAGGAAAUCAUAACUUUGUAACGUAGCAGACGACAAUAAAUUUUAAAGUGGAAAUUUGCGACUUCCGGUGUGUCUGCUACUCGAUGUUGUGAUCUUAGUUACUUCCCCUGACGUUCAGUAUAUGAAAUGAGGGUCGAGUUUCAGGAUUUGAAAUUAAGAAAGAACGAAAGAUAUGAAAUGAGCACCGGCAAACUGAUCUUGGCAUGUCACAUCCUUAUCACAGAACUGGAACCUACUGAUUAUGAUGAGGUAAAAGUAUAU
This is a long non-coding RNA of Ruditapes philippinarum (Manila clam), 270 nucleotides long. RefSeq lists it as uncharacterized. NCBI's taxonomy places the organism in Eukaryota, Metazoa, Mollusca, Bivalvia, Venerida, Veneridae. The transcript has 3 exons. The record is from RefSeq and is a predicted model, not a curated record.